This 253-nucleotide ribosomal RNA is filed under the name uncultured bacterium. RNAcentral's name for it is "partial 16S ribosomal RNA". It matches the Rfam family "Bacterial small subunit ribosomal RNA", at positions 524 to 776 of the family's 1533-position model. The record is from RNAcentral.
GACAGAGGGUGCAAACGUUGUUCGGAAUUACUGGGCGUAAAGCGCGUGUAGGCGGUCUGAAAAGUCAGGUGUGAAAGCCCUGGGCUCAACCCAGGAAGUGCACUUGAAACUGCCAGGCUAGAGUAUCGGAGAGGUUGGUGGAAUUCUCGGUGUAGAGGUGAAAUUCGUAGAUAUCGAGAGGAACACCGGUGGCGAAGGCGGCCAACUGGACGAAUACUGACGCUGAGACUCGAAAGCGUGGGGAGCAAACAGG